UCCAUGCAGUCGAGCGCACUCUUCGGAGUGAGCGGCGGACGGGUUAGUAACGCGUGGGAACGUGCCCUUCUCUAAGGAAUAGCCACUGGAAACGGUGAGUAAUACCUUAUACGCCCUUCGGGGGAAAGAUUUAUCGGAGAAGGAUCGGCCCGCGUUAGAUUAGAUAGUUGGUGGGGUAAUGGCCUACCAAGUCUACGAUCUAUAGCUGGUUUUAGAGGAUGAUCAGCAACACUGGGACUGAGACACGGCCCAGACUCCUACGGGAGGCAGCAGUGGGGAAUCUUGGACAAUGGGCGCAAGCCUGAUCCAGCCAUGCCGCGUGAGUGAUGAAGGCCUUAGGGUCGUAAAGCUCUUUCGCCAGAGAUGAUAAUGACAGUAUCUGGUAAAGAAACCCCGGCUAACUCCGUGCCAGCAGCCGCGGUAAUACGGAGGGGGUUAGCGUUGUUCGGAAUUACUGGGCGUAAAGCGCACGUAGGCGGAUCAGAAAGUAUAGGGUGAAAUCCCAGGGCUCAACCCUGGAACUGCCUUGUAAACUCCUGGUCUUGAGUUCGAGAGAGGUGAGUGGAAUUCCGAGUGUAGAGGUGAAAUUCGUAGAUAUUCGGAGGAACACCAGUGGCGAAGGCGGCUCACUGGCUCGAUACUGACGCUGAGGUGCGAAAGUGUGGGGAGCAAACAGGAUUAGAUACCCUGGUAGUCCACACCGUA
This 705-nucleotide ribosomal RNA is filed under the name Phaeobacter sp. Its description in RNAcentral is "bacterial SSU rRNA". It matches the Rfam family "Bacterial small subunit ribosomal RNA", at positions 52 to 804 of the family's 1533-position model. The record is from RNAcentral. Lineage: Bacteria; Pseudomonadati; Pseudomonadota; Alphaproteobacteria; Rhodobacterales; Roseobacteraceae.